GAUGAACGCUAGCGAUAGGCCUAACACAUGCAAGUCGAGGGGCAUCACAUGAGGUAGCAAUACUUCUGGUGGCGACCGGCGCACGGGUGAGUAACACGUAUGCAACCUGCCUUCAACAAGGGCAUAACCCGUUGAAAGACGGACUAAUUCCCUAUGACACAGGGGUCCCGCAUGGGGAUAUUUGUUAAAGAUAUUAUCGGUUGAAGAUGGGCAUGCGUUCCAUUAGCUUGUUGGCGGGGUAACGGCCCACCAAGGCAACGAUGGAUAGGGGAACUGAGAGGUUUAUCCCCCACACUGGUACUGAGACACGGACCAGACUCCUACGGGAGGCAGCAGUGAGGAAUAUUGGUCAAUGGACGCAAGUCUGAACCAGCCACGUCGCGCGAAGGAAGACGGCCCUACGGGUUGUAAACUUCUUUUAUACGGGAAUAAAGUGCCCCACGCGUGGGGUUUUGCAAGUACCGUACGAAUAAGGAUCGGCUAACUCCGUGCCAGCAGCCGCGGUAAUACGGAGGAUCCGAGCGUUAUCCGGAUUUAUUGGGUUUAAAGGGUGCUCAGGCGGGGGAUUAAGUCGGCGGUGAAAUUUUGCAGCUCAACUGUAAAAGUGCCUUCGAAACUGGUUUCCUUGAGUGCGGAUGAGGUAGGCGGAAUUUGUGGUGUAGCGGUGAAAUGCAUAGGUAUCACGAGGAACUCCGAUUGCGCAGGCAGCUUACCAAGCCGUAACUGACGCUCAAGCACGAAGGCGUGGGGAUCAAACAGGAUUAGAUACCCUGGUAGUCCACGCAGUAAACGAUGAUUACUGGCUGUUUGCGAUAUAAUGUAAGCGGCUGAGCGAAAGCGUUAAGUAAUCCACCUGGGGAGUACGUUCGCAAGAAUGAAACUCAAAGGAAUUGACGGGGGCCCGCACAAGCGGAGGAACAUGUGGUUUAAUUCGAUGAUACGCGAGGAACCUUACCCGGGCUUGAAAUGCAUCUGGCGUCCCGAGAGAUCGGGA
This 994-nucleotide ribosomal RNA is filed under the name uncultured bacterium. RNAcentral's name for it is "bacterial SSU rRNA". It matches the Rfam family "Bacterial small subunit ribosomal RNA", at positions 28 to 1012 of the family's 1533-position model. The record is from RNAcentral.